GGGGAGGUUUCUAGAAUUUAUAGCUCUACGUACACCCCUAUAUCCGCUUAUUAGUGGUAUCGCUCGCUAUAGAUAGUCGCGCUGCAGAAUAGACCAAGUCAGACUUUCGGGGAGGUUGCUUUUAUUCAAUAUGGAACUCUUGCAUGGGUGGAGGCAAAUGAAUGUUGGGGAGUUUUUAAGGAGUCUUCACUGGCUUGCGUUUCCCCCCAGUUAGCAUGGCCACCUUUCCUUUUUCCCCCGACAGGAAAAAAGGAGACCUUUAGCAGUUGCAUGGUAGGCAGAAGUUCUAUGGUAGAGCUUCCCUUCACCUUUUUCUCUUAUCUAGAUGGCGGUAGUGUAGAAGCAAAGCAAAUAUGUAAUCUGUGGACAAUGCAAUCGACAGAUCUGGCUCUUUUUUUAAGAGAAUAGCUUUACCUGUUGGAUUUCUGCAGGCCAUGUGUGUGUUAAAGGCCCAGGAGCCUGGCCAGAGGGGAAAUAAGUGUAGCAAUAGUCAGUAUAUGCUACUUCUGAGGUUGCUACCUUAAAAUGCAAAUACUGGUGUAUUUGCAUUUUAAAGAACUUGCACAUCUGUAAUUACAGUACUUGCUGCUGCUUAUAUAUUUGCCUUGGAGGUUAUUCCGUGGCACAUGGCAUAUUGGAUUUUGCUACAAGCAGGUAAGUUGGACGUGAUGGUGAUCUCUACUAAUCUUUAAAAUUGCAUCUGGUGUUGUUGUAUUUUUAGAUAUGGUGGCUAAUAAGACCUUUUUCUGCCAUUGAGAGGUGAUCACCCAAAUCCAUUUGACUGAUAUGAAUGCAUGAAGGGGACAAACUCAUUCUCCUUUGAUGUAGCUCAGCCGUUCAUGGUUUAUUUAACAAGGAUGCUCCUUAAAUCAAUAUGAAGAAAUGACAGUCUUGGAGGGGCUGCAGGUGUCUGAACAACGGCGACGGUCAGUCUUCAAGAGUGCUGCAGAAUUUCAAUACUUUCCUACACUAUAACAUGAGGCUCUGGGUGGGCUCCCAGCACAGAAGUUUGAUUCUGAAAAUGAUCACAGUUGAGAGCUUCGGCUAUUGGGCGGUAUAGAAAUGCAAUAACUAAAUAAAAAUAAAAAUAGCAAAUAUAGUCUUGAAUGCCAUCUUUGUUUCUGAAUGUCAAAUGUCCUUGAAUCACUACUGUGUGGAAUCCAUUUGUCAUUACCUUGCAUAAUUUUAAGUUGUUCAGAUUUUGUAAAUAGUUUCGUAGCCUGUAAAGGUUAUUGCUACGUUGUACUUGAUGAAAUAAAGUAGAUUAUAUAUUUAACAAUA
Molecule: long non-coding RNA, 1281 nt
Organism: Elgaria multicarinata webbii
Lineage: Eukaryota; Metazoa; Chordata; Lepidosauria; Squamata; Anguidae
Exons: 3
Source: RefSeq, a predicted model, not a curated record